AGUUUGAUCAUGGCUCAGAUUGAACGCUGGCGGCAGGCCUAACACAUGCAAGUCGAGCGGUAGCACAAGAGAGCUUGCUCUCUGGGUGACGAGCGGCGGACGGGUGAGUAAUGUCUGGGAAACUGCCUGAUGGAGGGGGAUAACUACUGGAAACGGUAGCUAAUACCGCAUAACGUCUUCGGACCAAAGUGGGGGACCUUCGGGCCUCACGCCAUCAGAUGUGCCCAGAUGGGAUUAGCUAGUAGGUGGGGUAAUGGCUCACCUAGGCGACGAUCCCUAGCUGGUCUGAGAGGAUGACCAGCCACACUGGAACUGAGACACGGUCCAGACUCCUACGGGAGGCAGCAGUGGGGAAUAUUGCACAAUGGGCGCAAGCCUGAUGCAGCCAUGCCGCGUGUGUGAAGAAGGCCUUCGGGUUGUAAAGUACUUUCAGCGAGGAGGAAGGGUAGUGUGUUAAUAGCACAUUGCAUUGACGUUACUCGCAGAAGAAGCACCGGCUAACUCCGUGCCAGCAGCCGCGGUAAUACGGAGGGUGCAAGCGUUAAUCGGAAUUACUGGGCGUAAAGCGCACGCAGGCGGUUUGUUAAGUCAGAUGUGAAAUCCCCGCGCUUAACGUGGGAACUGCAUUUGAAACUGGCAAGCUAGAGUCUUGUAGAGGGGGGUAGAAUUCCAGGUGUAGCGGUGAAAUGCGUAGAGAUCUGGAGGAAUACCGGUGGCGAAGGCGGCCCCCUGGACAAAGACUGACGCUCAGGUGCGAAAGCGUGGGGAGCAAACAGGAUUAGAUACCCCGGUAGU
Molecule: ribosomal RNA, 795 nt
Filed under: uncultured bacterium
Lineage: Bacteria
Description: bacterial SSU rRNA
Rfam family: Bacterial small subunit ribosomal RNA
Source: RNAcentral